AAGUGAGGUGAUUAAGACUGCUUCCAACAAUAAAAAAAUGAUAUUACCCACAACUGAAUAUUCUCAAAUUAUUUUUAAUUCAAACAUGUCUAAAAAAAUAAUUUCAAUUUCGAAAACAGUAACGAUUUGUUAGACAUAGAAAAAUAAAUUAAUCAGGGAAAUAAAUUAAUAUUCUUUCAAAUAGAUUUAUGACAGUAAAAGAUAAACUAAAAACCCAACUUUUUUUUUGUUGGUUUUACUUCGUUCUUAAGGGUAUUUGGAUUGCGUACUUCUGGUAUGCUCGAUUUUUUUCCUGUUUAUUAACUUUCUAAUAUCACAUGAUAUGAUUUAUUUGCGUUAGGAGGACGUAUUUUCUAACCUCAAAUUUCUUCAUGUCCAACGGCUGUGUUAGUUUAGUUAGACCAUAAUACUUCAGCCAGUUCAAUGGAGUUCAAUAGAGCUAAAACUUUCAGGGGGUAAUGGAACAAAAAACUAAUAUAGAUAAAAUAAACUUCGCACAUUGUGCAGCUACACCUGUUGUAACCAAAACCUCGACAUGACCUUUAACAUGAAAUAUUAACGUCAAAACUCUGCCACUUUAGCAAAUUGAAUCAAAUCCAGUUUUUAAAGGAAGACUUGGAUAUUCGCACCGUAGAGCAUGCAUCCGUCGAGCGCCUCCAUUGCCAGCUGCACGGCAUUGAAACAGUUAAUUCCAAAGUGAACGAAGGUGGAAUUCCUCAUCUUUUUCACACGCCGGAUUGACCUCUAAACCCUCCCUAAUCUUGUAUCCUGUAAAAUCCUGCGUAAAGUUACUCACAUGAAGCACCUUUCCCUAAACGUAAGAAACGACACGUCACCAGCAGCUGGGUCACCAGCAGUUGGGCUAAGGCUAUACCAUUAACCUGAGCCAGUUGGUAAUUAGUCUGCUACUACAGAAAGUAUUCAGACUUCUGGCUUGACAGUUGUGGGCAUUCGCCAUUCGCUAAUAUCUGCCAGCUCAAGAUGACGCUUUGUCUGUCGGACCCGACGUUUAUUCUCGCAAGCCAUUUAAUUUCGUCCGUCGAGGCCAACAUCGGUAAC
Long non-coding RNA from Daphnia pulicaria, 1059 nucleotides. RefSeq lists it as uncharacterized. The record is from RefSeq and is a predicted model, not a curated record. The transcript is spliced from 2 exons. NCBI's taxonomy places the organism in Eukaryota, Metazoa, Arthropoda, Branchiopoda, Diplostraca, Daphniidae.